CUUGAGAAAAGAAGAUUCAGAGUGGAUCUGACUAAUGUUUAUAAGUCUCUUAAGUGUGGGAGUCAAAGAGACAUGGCCAACCUCUUUUCAGCAGUCUCUGGGGACAGAACAAGGAGAAACAGCCAUAAACUGGAGCACAGGAAAUUCUACACCAAUAAGCAAAAUAACUUCUUCACAGUGAGGAUGACAGAGCACGGGAACAGGCUGCCCUGGGAUGUUGUGGAUUUUCCUUUUCUGGAGAUAUUCAAGACCUGCCUGGACAGCUACCUGUGUAACCUGCUGUAGGGGGUCUGCUUUGCAGGUGAGAAAGCGAAAAUGUUGUAUUUCCUUCAACAAUUCUAUUAUUGUAGCUCUCCUUCAGCUUUUGGAUCCUCUAAUGAGCUGAAAACGUUCCCUCUAGCUACCUGAAGUAUAUGAAAUAUAUAUGCUACAUCAUGUUCAUGGAAGAUUUCUUAUUUGAAAAAUAAUAAAUGGAAAGAGGAAGAAGCUGAAGAGGACACGGAGAUUCCGAAAGGCAGCAAAAGAAACACAAUUGCCAAAAUCAC
Long non-coding RNA from Gallus gallus (chicken), 545 nucleotides. The record is from Ensembl. Lineage: Eukaryota; Metazoa; Chordata; Aves; Galliformes; Phasianidae.